This 211-nucleotide long non-coding RNA is filed under the name Elaeis guineensis (African oil palm). RNAcentral's name for it is "long non-coding RNA (EGUI_LNC056474)". Lineage: Eukaryota; Viridiplantae; Streptophyta; Magnoliopsida; Arecales; Arecaceae. The record is from RNAcentral.
GACCUCCUAUCGGGCUCCCCGUAAAAUCGGGCUUCCCCAGCGGACGAUCUUCGGAUGAGCCUCCACAUCAGAUAAAUUCCAGACGGACUCCCCUAGCGAUCGAACUUCCCUAGACUCUGCCAACAGAAAAUCUCCAUCCGAGCUUCUGUGGCAGGCGACCCCCACCUGAAACGUCAGCGACCUCGGGACAUCCGAGCCUCUCCCAAAACGA